AGUGCGGAGAGAAAGUUGUUGCGUAUUUCUCGCAAAAACUCUCUCCGGCACAACAAGCUUACGCAGCCUCCGAGAAAGAAGGUCUAGCGGUUCUGACCGCAAUUAACAAAUUUCGUCCCUAUGUCGAAGGUACACGGUUUGUCGUUAUAACCGACGCCUCUGCACUAACCCAUAUUAUGAAUGGGAAGUGGCGUACUUCGUCGCGUCUUAGCCGAUGGAGCAUCGAGCUGCAGGGAAAUGAUUUUGAAAUUCGACACCGAAGGGGGAAGGACAAUGUUAUCCCGGACGCGCUCUCGCGUUCGAUGGAGAUCGCCUCUCUAGAAGAAGGAGACGCAUGGUACUCCUCUCAGUAUGAAAAAGUUAUCUCUGCUCCUGAUGAGCACGUUGAUUACAAAGUGGAAGGGGGGAAACUGUACAAGUUUGUGCCGAGUAAGACCGAAGUUCUUGAUUUCCGUUUUGAAUGGAAGCUCUGUGUUCCGGAGAAGUCGCGAGAAGAGAUUCUCCGAAAAGAGCACGACGAAGGAUUCCACAUAGGCUACGAAAAGUUGCUGGACCGAAUCCGCACGAGAUACUUUUGGCCGAAGAUGGCCACCUCCAUACGGAAAUAUGUUGAACGGUGCCGAGCCUGUAAAGAGUACAAGCCCACUACAAUCUCCCAGCAUCCAGUCAUGGGAAACCAACGACUGGCUACGAAGCCUUUCCAAAUGCUGGCGAUUGAUUUCAUCCAAUCGCUGCCAAGAUCAAAAACUGGCCAUACCCACCUGUUAGUUUUAUUAGACGUUUUUUUCAAAAUGGACGGUUUUAGUCCCGGUGAGAAAAAUCUCAGCAGAUCUUGUAAUCAAGAUACUCGAGGAACAAUGGUUCCGCCGCUUUUCUGUUCCGGAGAUCCUGAUAAGCGACAACGCAACGAGCUUUUUGAGCAACACGUUCAAAGAUUUUUUAACCCGGUAUCAAGUAAAGCACUGGACGAACUCUCGGCAUCACAGCCAGGCCAAUCCGGUCGAGCGCUUGAACCGGAGUAUUAACUCGUGCAUCCGAACAUACGUAAAGGCUGAUCAGCGUAUGUGGGACACGAAAAUCUCAGAGGUGGAACACACACUAAAUAACACCACACAUUCAUCCACUGGUCUGACACCGUAUAUGAUUGUAUUCGGGCAUGAAAUUGUUUCCAGCGGUGCGGAGCACCGUCGUGAUCCCGAUACUUCUGAUAUUUUCGAAGCUGAAAGAGUGGAAAGAAAAUUAAAAGUGGACCAGCAAAUCCAAAACAUUGUCAGCAAAAACUUAGCCAAAGCCCAUGAGAAAAGUUCCAGAGCUUAUAAUCUUCGGUUCCGAAAGCCUGCUCCCGUGUAUCAGGUGGGACAGAAUGUUUAUAAGCGAAAUUUCGCUCAAUCUGUGGCUGGAGAAGCCUAUAAUGCAAAAUUAGGUCCAGCUUAUACGCCAUGCACUAUUAUAUCUCGUCGAGGCACGAGCUCCUAUGAGCUAAUUGAUGAGCAAGGCAAGAACCUUGGCGUUUUUUCUUCGGCUGAUCUGAAGCCUGGUAUCCCCGAUGAUAAUUAGGAGUUUGUCCAGCUUCUCUGCUAUUUUAGAUGUCUAGUUCCAAUGUAAUUUGUUGAUUAAGUCCAAAAUUGUAUAGAGUCUUCGUGAGUUUGCGUACGCGUCCCUUGUUGAUAUGAUGAUCAUCGCCUAUUGUGAGUUGUAUAGCAAAUAUUGUGUAAGUGAAAAAGCGAAUCUGAUGAGUUAAGAAUGUCUUGCUGUUUUGAAAGUACCGUCUAUCUUUAUAGUUGUCUCUUUUUGUCAAACAAUAGAAUAAUAAUAGUCAAUCGUUAGUUGAAGAAGCAGAAGCGACAGGGAAAUUUGACCGAUCAGCGAUAAACAACAACAAAUGAAAAAUUUCUAGAUCGCGAUGCGCAGUAGCUACGGAUCCAGUGAUCUGCCCUGCCUUUUCAAAUGAUGAAAAUAAGAAACCACUUACCACCUCUUACCACCCACUAUCUAGCUCUGAAAACACAAAAAAAAAGAUUUCGGCAAGAUCAACAUUCGAAAAUCCAACCAUCAGGAGAUUUCGUUUUGAUAUAAAGAAAAGAUUUAGCUCUUCCUCGAAACAAUCUAGGUUUCGGACAUUGGAAGAGGAUGAGAUUGAAUAACCAUUUCGCGAAUUUAAGAUUGCGUUAACAAAAGUCCUUCUAUUGAAGCAAGGCGACUGUUUGUUAAUAAGACGUAAUUUAGGUUGAUUUUUGUGAAUAUUCGAGAGCAUUAAAGUUGCGACUCAAUCCUGGGAUGACUCUAAAUGAAUUCAACAAGUGAAAAAUUAAUCAAAACCUUGUUUUGAUUAAUUUUAGAGGGGGGAGAUGAGGUAGUGUUACCGUUGGGCAUAAAUGUACUUAUCUAAACUGCCGUGGCUAGAUAUAUGUUCGAAAGAAUAUUUGAAUUGACAGUUAAAGAUAUUUGUUGUCUGUUUUUAAAUUCAUGUUAUUUAUAUUAUACACCAAUAUUGCCCUGAAAUUAGAAAGUUACCUAGUUUAAAAAAAUAUAUGAAGCAUGCACACUUAAAUAAAUAUAUAAAUUAAUUAAAAACCGAUUGUUAGAUAAAACCUAGAACAAAAUUUGUAAAACACAUUUCGAACACAACACAGAACACUAUAAAAACUGCUGCAGGGGAACCUGUUCGAAAGAUUGUCGCGAGUUGGAAAAAGGACGGCAGAAAAGGAGCUAAAAAGGGAAAAUCGCAUGAAAAGGGUAGGCUACUGGGUACAAUGAGAAUCAGACUCGGUCUCUUUCCGAUAGAAAACGCCAAAGUUAGUGGACGUGAUUAUUAGCUGAAAGUCGCCUAGCAAAGUUUGAGCAAACCUUUACGGUGCCCACAAUUAUACCGGAUCAAGGAAAGAGUUUUGAGUACAGUGCGUACCCGAUAUAUACAACGAAUCAGGACCCAGUAGCGCUUGGCUCGCACGUUUUACAUCCAAGCCAAGUUUCGCCAUAGCGGACCAAGUCCCGCCAAGAAGUCCGGAAGCUGAGUCCGGGCGAACGAUAGCCGACCGUGGCCCUACGGUCAAGGUAUUCUGACCUCGAGUACGUCUUGAAUCGAGGCCAGAGGUGUAUCGACCCAACCGUCGGACGAAGGCAAUUCCCGACGUGAAAUCUGCCCUGGAGAACCCCCGCCGACCUUCGAAAGUGACGCCAAUCCCACUUUACCGAGGCCAAGCCAGGCCUUGUCAGCUCCAGCUGGUAACACCCCCAUCGAGGAGCGACCCGCAGUUCCCCAGCAGCAUCAGUAACCGCCGGCCGGCCCACCGUACAGCGCACACCACACCCACACACACAACUUAGUGAGUAAUUCUAAAAUAAAACCUGGUUAAGAGUAAUUAGCGCGUGUAGACUUUCAUUGAGCCCUUGAUUAGCCUCUCGAGAAUAGCCGACCCUGUGAUAAAGAGGCGGAUGUAGCCCACCCCACACGACUUCCGAGGCCGUGACCAGAAGUUAGGGGCAUAAGAAUUAACAAGCUUCAACAUCCAAAACUUGUUUUCAUUGAGAUAUUUCAUUGUGGUAGAGCAUUAUGAUCCCUUCUUUCAAAUAUCUGUGGAAUAUGAUUCUUUCUUCCCUCUUUCAAACAAUCCUAUGAUCCACCAAAGCAUCCACCUAUUCGGCACACAUUUUCCGACGAAAUGAUAAAUAAUUGGUGAUUUUUUGAUGGACAAGUUCCCAAUCCAAUCCAGCUGCAGUAAUGUUUUCUUUGGUGCUUUUGGAUGAGUAGGGGAAAAUGAAGAAACAAAAAAGAUGCACAAAUUUGUAAACAGAAGCAUAGGCUCUGUAAGAGAGAGACAAAAUGUGUUGCCAAAUGCGUAACAUAUCUCCCAACCUUUUUGCUCCUAGCAUUUAAAGAGCAGUUGAAAAGCAUUCUGAUUGCUCGCAAGUGAAAACACUUCAAGCAGUUGAAAUGCUAAUUAACAGCCAAAAGCUUUUGAGCAGCACAGCUUAUGCUAACUCAAGGCAGUUAUGCAUUCGAACUGCUUAUGUAGGGCAGCAAGCAGUUUAAAUGCAUAAUACGGGCUGAUACACGGCUUAUUCAAAUGCUUAGUGGUUACCUGGGUGAUGACACUGCCGUGGAACCUGUUGUAGAUGUUCUGGGGUGGUCAUAUUAGUUGAUGCAAACUUCAGGGUAUCGUUUCUGACUGAGUCAUUCGAAAUCAUGAAGUUUGAUAUGUCGCUUGUUAUGCUUUGGAUGAAAACCAGAAAUGUCCCCAAUGAGGCCCCCAUGGAACCUGUCAUGGUGAUCCGGAUGGGCCAACUUCAAAUCUGGUUAUCGAAGUUGUGUUUAAUUGUUCACAAUAAAAAUUCCGCUGAAAAUCAAUGGUUUAAACACAAUAACACAGGAAAUAAUCACUUUUAGGCAUUUCGGCAAUCUCCCCCCCCCCCCUGACCCCAGUACAAUCCGGAAUAUCUCCAGAAUGGUUCCCGAUAUUGCAUGGCCACUUGGGUGUAAUAAACUUGCACCAAAUUAUGAUCGAUUGAGGGCGACUUCAAAAAAAAUGGAUGGAAAUUGACGAAAUGCCAGCAUUUUGAAAAUGAGAUAUUGGGAUCAGGUACGAGAUGGAAGCGAAUUCCACUUCCCAGCUCCUCAGACGAUAGAUCAUAUAAAAAUAAACUAAAAAAGCCAAGAGUUGCCCUAAAGCGUUCAAAAUUAAUACAUUUUGAAACGUUUUAGAGUAUGACAAUGCUCAGAAGUUGUAUUCAAAAUAUCACGAAAAUCAUAAAGAAGAUACAACUGAUCUAGAUCACUUCCAAUAUAUCUAGACCAGAUUGGAUUGUACUAAAAUAUUACUCUAAUAAAACCAAUGUUACUUCUCAAAGACGAGAUACCUCUACGAAGCAUAACCAGAGCCGUAAGAGAUUUUUCGAACAAAGGAUGGAGCCUAAAGAAGUUAAAUCACGUACUUUAUAAAUGAACCCUAGGGCCUUAUGUUAUUUUCCAGCAAUCCUGGCAUUUUAAACAUAAUAUUGCUUGAUUUUUAAAUGAUAUUUGUGAUAAAAAAUAUUGCCUCGAUAGUACGUACGUUUCGAUAGUACGUACACUAAACGAAGCGAUGGUGUACGUACUAUCGAGGUAUGCCUGUAUUUCUAUGAACAAAAUAUCCAAUUUACAAAACUAUCUAUGAAUCCACAGCAAUAAGCGAAAUAGCGUACGUAUUGGUCGGCUUUCAUACAAAUUGCUCAAAUCUGCUCAAUAUAAGCUUUUGAAUCAAAUGACCAAAAAUAUUACAACAUUUUUACAAAAAAAAAAUCAAAUGUACGAAAAAAGGAACUUUAAGUCUACAGUAGUUAAUAAAAUUGCGUCCGGUAUUGAUCGACUAUUAUACAAAUUGCUGAAAUGUGGAAGAAUGAACACCAGGUUUUAAAA
Aedes albopictus (Asian tiger mosquito) is the source of this 5395-nucleotide long non-coding RNA. RefSeq lists it as uncharacterized. The transcript has 2 exons. The record is from RefSeq and is a predicted model, not a curated record. Lineage: Eukaryota; Metazoa; Arthropoda; Insecta; Diptera; Culicidae.